GGUAAAAUGGUCGAGUAAAGGCAGUAAAUUGUAAAUUUACCUACGAACUUUUGUUCUUUUACCA
This 64-nucleotide transfer RNA is filed under the name Cucujoidea sp. 28 KM-2017. RNAcentral describes it as "tRNA-Tyr". The record is from RNAcentral. Lineage: Eukaryota; Metazoa; Arthropoda; Insecta; Coleoptera.